Molecule: long non-coding RNA, 1002 nt
Organism: Rhincodon typus (whale shark)
Lineage: Eukaryota; Metazoa; Chordata; Chondrichthyes; Orectolobiformes; Rhincodontidae
Exons: 3
Source: RefSeq, a predicted model, not a curated record
CCAGACCCGCAGCUCCGGUUCGGGGCACUGGGUCGUGGGCCUCACUAUCGCUGCCCCGGAGUCGCGGGCCCGAGGCAGGGAUUCUCGGUGAUACCGCAGGCUUGGGAACUCCCACUGAAAUACAUAAAAACCCACCAAAACGAGCGCUCGCUACCAUCAACAUCAUGGGGCCAUGUUCCAAUACAGUUGCUACCUUCGACCAGGAUGGCCGAGUGGUUAAGGCGUUGGACUUAAGAUCCAAUGGACAUGUGUCCGCGUGGGUUCGAACCCCACUCCUGGUAGUUCUUUUUCUCUGCAGCGAAUUUGAGCAGCUCCUCACUUUUAACAAACUUUCAAUUCACUGCUCACUUCAAAAAGGAUGGCUUUAGAAAAUGCUGCCAGACCUGCUAAGCUUUUUCUGAAGAGAUAGUAGGAACUGCAGAUGCUGGAGAAUCCGAGACAACAAGGUGCAGGGCUGGAUGAACACAGCAGGCUAAGCAGCAUCAUUCUCAGCUUUUUCUCAACUUCUGUUUUUGUUCCUGAUUUACAGCAUCCACAGUUCUUUCAGUUUUCAUUCAUCGUCUUCUUCCAAGUCAGCCGUCCGGAAUUGAAGAUGUUUUGAUCCCAUGCCGGUUCGAAAUGACUGAAAAAUUUGAUCUGCAGAUUAUGUUACGUGCAGGGUAGUUGGUGUUUGCAGGGAUUAAGAUCAGGCUGUGAUCGUAUCUACAUCUGGAUGAAAUGAAUUAGAAACACAAAGAUUUUGGGCUCAGGAAGUGGAAAUUUGUCCAGAACGUUUUCAGAAUGUUCCUGUGGAUUAUAGAACAUUGACUCCCAGUGUUCACUGUUCCACAUUACAGCACAAUCCUCACUUGUCACAAAUGGCAGCAAGUUGAAUCGUAUUGUGUUUCCUGCAUUCAAUAACUUUCUAUUUUGAAAAAAAUGUACACAGUUCUCUGUGAAGUAACAAAUAAAUGCAAGUUGUUGCAUAUUUUUAACAAAGCAUUUAAAAAAAAACAAACAAAA